RNAcentral lists this ribosomal RNA (371 nucleotides) under uncultured bacterium. RNAcentral's name for it is "partial 16S ribosomal RNA". It matches the Rfam family "Bacterial small subunit ribosomal RNA", at positions 338 to 706 of the family's 1533-position model. The record is from RNAcentral.
CCUACGGGUGGCAGCAGUGAGGAAUAUUGGUCAAUGGGCGGAAGCCUGAACCAGCCAAGUCGCGUGAGGGAAUAAGGCCCUACGGGUCGUAAACCUCUUUUGCCGGGGAGCAAGGGCGUGGACGUGUCCCGUCCCGUAGAGUACCCGGAGAACAAGCAUCGACUAACUCCGUGCCAGCAGCCGCGUUAUUACGGAGGUUGCGAGCGUUAUCCGAAUUUUUUGGGUUUAAAAGGUGCGUAGGCGGGCUUUUAAGUCCGCGGUAAAAAUUCGGGGCUAAACCCGGUCCGGCCGUUGAAACUGGGGGCAUUGAGUGGGCGAGAAGAAGGCGGAAUGCGUGGUGUAGCGGGGAAAGGCAUAGAUAUCACGAAGAA